This 575-nucleotide small RNA is filed under the name Pan troglodytes (chimpanzee). RNAcentral describes it as "retained intron". The record is from RNAcentral. Lineage: Eukaryota; Metazoa; Chordata; Mammalia; Primates; Hominidae.
CUUAGAGAAGAUCGAGACAGGGUCCCUAUCAGAAAAGAUACAAAACUUUUUACCAACAAAAAAAAGCAAGUAGCUAUACUCAGGAAGAACUUCAAGACACUUACGGGUUUCUUCUGUUUGAUACUGAAAAGCAGGCAAAAUUGGUAUGUCAGCGUGGACUCCGUGUUGGCAGCAGUGCUGUUACCACUCUGGGUGAUCCAGCCAAAGGUAAGUCUGUAAAGCAAAAAGAAUCUUAAAAAAAAAAUCUUCUUUUACAAGAUGAAGUGAGGUUUCAUUAGUUUUAUAAGAUAUAUAUAUUAAAAGCCAGUUUCACUAAAUGUCAAACAGUUCAUAAUGUUUAGAUUUCUAACUUUAAACAUAUGAAUGAGAUUUGAGUCUAAAACUUUACAGUAUUUUUCAGUGUCAAGAGAUUGGUAUUGUCUUGAGAAUCUCUUCUAAAUUGUCACAGGGGCAAUAAGAAUAGAAAAUAGAGCUGACCAAACUUGGCAACUAUGGAAUGUGAGGGGUAAGAGAGGAAAUAAUCAAAUAUAAGCUUUUAAACUUACACUACAGUGAUAAUUAUUAAUAGAAAAGAG